GACGGAGGAUGCAAGUGUUAUCCGGAAUCACUGGGCGUAAAGCGUCUGUAGGUGGUUAAGCAAGUCAACUGUUAAAUCUUGAGGCUCAACUUCAAAAUCGCAGUCGAAACUGUUUGACUAGAGUAUAGUAGGGGUAAAGGGAAUUUCCAGUGGAGCGGUGAAAUGCGUAGAUAUUGGAAAGAACACCGAUGGCGAAGGCACUUUACUGGGCUAUUACUGACACUCAGAGACGAAAGCUAGGGUAGCAAAUGGG
RNAcentral lists this ribosomal RNA (253 nucleotides) under uncultured bacterium. Its description in RNAcentral is "partial 16S ribosomal RNA". It matches the Rfam family "Bacterial small subunit ribosomal RNA", at positions 524 to 776 of the family's 1533-position model. The record is from RNAcentral.